Molecule: ribosomal RNA, 441 nt
Filed under: Epilobium anagallidifolium
Lineage: Eukaryota; Viridiplantae; Streptophyta; Magnoliopsida; Myrtales; Onagraceae
Description: eukaryotic LSU rRNA
Rfam family: Eukaryotic large subunit ribosomal RNA (bases 301-441)
Source: RNAcentral
UGCAGAAUCCCGUGAACCAUCGAGUCUUUGAACGCAAGUUGCGCCCUAAGCCAUUUGGCCGAGGGCACGUCUGCCUGGGCGUCAAUCAUCUAUUCGUCACCCAACCUCUGCUCCCCGAAAAGUAGCUUUGGUCCCGGGUACGGAAGUUGGCCUCCCGUGCUCUUGAAGCGCGGCUGGCCUAAAACUGAGCAUCGGACUGAUGAUCUCCGAGGCACGCGGUGGUUGUUCAUUCCUACCUCGUGACGUUGCCAAGGAGCGUCUCCCGUACGAAGCUCCACGACCCUAGAUUUACUAUCGAUGCGACCCCAGGUCAGGCGGGGCCACCCGCUGAAUUUAAGCAUAUCAAUAAGCGGAGGAAAAGAAACUAACAAGGAUUCCCCUAGUAGCGGCGAGCGAACCGGGAAAUGCCCACCAUGAAAAUCGAGCUCCUUUGGUGCUCGA